CCGGCGCACGGGUGAGUAACACGUAUGCAAUCCACCUGUAACAGGGGGAGUAACCCGGAGAAAUCCGGACUAAUACCCCAUAAUAUGGGCGCUCCGCAUGGAGAGCCCAUUAAAGAGAGCAAUUUUGGUUACAGACGAGCAUGCGCUCCAUUAGCCAGUUGGCGGGGUAACGGCCCACCAAAGCGACGAUGGAUAGGGGUUCUGAGGGGAAGGUCCCCCACAUUGGAACUGAGACACGGUCCAA
This 244-nucleotide ribosomal RNA is filed under the name uncultured bacterium. RNAcentral describes it as "partial 16S ribosomal RNA". It matches the Rfam family "Bacterial small subunit ribosomal RNA", at positions 95 to 334 of the family's 1533-position model. The record is from RNAcentral.